AAUGUCUGAUUGAUUAACUGCUGAAUGGGAGGCGGGAGAGCUUUGUGUGACGGCCUGGUUUUAUUAAAUUAUGGAGGUCAGUCCGCUUUCUGGUCAGACAAGUGAACGGACCGCAGUGAAAGCUGGUGUGAAAGUGGUAGCCAAACUCACCCAGCAUUCACAAUGAAUAGUACAGAUCUGAACUCAUCAAGCGCGUUUACACAGCAAGCUGUGACGCGGAAUUCAACUUUGUGGCCGACAGCUUUUCCUAAACAAGCAAACGACUCCGUUAUUUAUGGUAACACCUUCACUCCUUGUUUUUCACUGUUUUUGUUGCAUUAUCCACAUGGAGUCACUUUAAUACGCAGAAGAAGAAGAAGACGGAGCUACCUUCGUUUUACCAGAUGCUAAUAAAAACGAGAGCUGUAUAUUUAAAGUGUUUAUUUCUGUUGGUUCAGUUUAUUGGGAACAAACUGCUCAAUGAAAUGAUUUUAACACUGAAAUGCAAACGUAAUGAAAAGUAAGUCGGCAGUAUACACAUUUAAUCAGGUGCUUGAAAUCCUUGAAAAUUUCAAUUAGAUGUUUUCAAGGUUUGAAAAGUGCUUGAUUUCUGUGUAAAGUGGUUAAUAUUCUGGCUGCACAGUUUUGAAAUAAACAUCUAGGAGAGAAGACUCGUUACAGAAAGUGAACUGAUUCAUAUUUAAACAUUUAAUUUGAGCUCAACAGGUUUGUUAAAUGUAAUGAUCAUUUCUAAUGACUCAAUGAGUAAGUGCUGCAUUUACACUGCAUUCAAUGUGAAUCCAUGUGAUUGGAGCUAUCCCCGUUUUUACAUACUUUGUCCUUCCACUAAACUUUCAAAUUAGUUUGAAUACUCUGUAAACGGCCAACUUAUUGACCUUUUUUUGGCUUAACUACCUUGUUGAGGAGGAUCUGUUGGACAACUGUAGUGUUGACAUUUUCCCUUAUUGUGUAGGCUGCGACAUGGCUAAGACAGAAUCAUUAAUGGUGAUGAAUCAAUUAUAAAUGAUCAACUCAUUUAGUAAUUGAUCGUUUACUAGAGCACACAGACUCAAAAAAGGUAAAAGA
Long non-coding RNA from Poecilia latipinna (sailfin molly), 1065 nucleotides. RefSeq lists it as uncharacterized. The transcript is spliced from 4 exons. The record is from RefSeq and is a predicted model, not a curated record. NCBI's taxonomy places the organism in Eukaryota, Metazoa, Chordata, Actinopteri, Cyprinodontiformes, Poeciliidae.